GCGUUUGUGGUUUAGUGGUAAAAUCGUUGCUUGCCAAUACAACUUGCAAUGGCCCCGGGUUCGAUUCCCGGCGAACGCA
RNAcentral lists this transfer RNA (79 nucleotides) under Sclerotinia borealis F-4128. It matches the Rfam family "tRNA". From Rfam's summary of the family: Transfer RNA (tRNA) molecules are approximately 80 nucleotides in length. Their secondary structure includes four short double-helical elements and three loops (D, anti-codon, and T loops). Further hydrogen bonds mediate the characteristic L-shaped molecular structure. tRNAs have two regions of fundamental functional importance: the anti-codon, which is responsible for specific mRNA codon recognition, and the 3' end, to which the tRNAs corresponding amino acid is attached (by aminoacyl-tRNA synthetases). tRNAs cope with the degeneracy of the genetic code in two manners: having more than one tRNA (with a specific anti-codon) for a particular amino acid; and 'wobble' base-pairing, i.e. permitting non-standard base-pairing at the 3rd anti-codon position. Lineage: Eukaryota; Fungi; Ascomycota; Leotiomycetes; Helotiales; Sclerotiniaceae. The record is from Rfam by way of RNAcentral.